This 406-nucleotide ribosomal RNA is filed under the name uncultured bacterium. Its description in RNAcentral is "partial 16S ribosomal RNA". It matches the Rfam family "Bacterial small subunit ribosomal RNA", at positions 30 to 526 of the family's 1533-position model. The record is from RNAcentral.
AUUGAACGCUGGCGGCAGGCCUAACACAUGCAAGUCGAACGCGUGGCGGACGGGUGUGUAAUGUCUGGGACACUGCCUGAUAGGGGGGGAUCACUAGUGGAAACGGUCUCUAAUACCGCAUACCAUCAGAUGUGCCCAGAUGGGAUUAGCGUGUUGGUGGGGUAACGGCUCACCAGGGCGACGACCCCUAGCUGGUCUGAGAGGAUGACCAGCCACACGGGAACGGAGACACGGUCCAGACUCCUACGGGAGGCAGCAGUGGGGAAUAUUGCACAAUGGGCGCAAGCCUGAUGCAGCCAUGCCGCGUGUAUGAAGAAGGCCUUCGGGUUGUAAAGUACUUUCAGCGGGGAGGCGUUACCCGCAGAAGAAGCACCGGCUAACUCCGUGCCAGCAGCCGCGGUAAUUC